RNAcentral lists this ribosomal RNA (489 nucleotides) under uncultured bacterium. Its description in RNAcentral is "partial 16S ribosomal RNA". It matches the Rfam family "Bacterial small subunit ribosomal RNA", at positions 28 to 507 of the family's 1533-position model. The record is from RNAcentral.
GACGAACGCUGGCGGCGUGCUUAACACAUGCAAGUCGAACGGUGAAGGGACCAGCUUGCUGGUUCUGGAUGAGUGGCGAACGGGUGAGUAACACGUGAGUAACCUGCCCCCUUCUUCUGGAUAACCGCAUGAAAGUGUGGCUAAUACGGGAUAUUCUGGGUCUGUCGCAUGGCGGGCCCGGGAAAGAUAUUGCUUCGGUGGGGGAUGGGCUCGCGGCCUAUCAGCUUGUUGGUGGGGUGAUGGCCUACCAAGGCGGUGACGGGUAGCCGGCCUGAGAGGGUGGACGGUCACACUGGGACUGAGACACGGCCCAGACUCCUACGGGAGGCAGCAGUGGGGAAUAUGGCACAAUGGGCGCAAGCCUGAUGCAGCGACGCCGCGUGAGGGAUGGAGGCCUUCGGGUUGUAAACCUCUUUCGCCAGUGAAGCAGGCCUGCUCCUUGUGGGUGGGUUGACGGUAGCUGGAUAAGAAGCGCCGGCUAACUACGUG